AUGGAGGACGUGGUGUUUCAAUCGAUAGCAGCCGGCCUGCAGGGCCUUCAGUUAGUGCAUGGGGUUAGUGGCCGAUCUGGGCGGCUGGGCUGGGCUUCGAGCUCGCCGGAAAUACAAGGGGCUGUUUAUGCGGCCGGAGGUGUUUGUGCGCCGGGAAAUCUCAUGUCCUCUCUCUCUCUUGUUUCUUCCUUGUCUCCGGUGAUCGCCGUGGUUCAAACAAACAUAGACGACGUCCUCCUCGAGAUCCUGUCGCGUGUCGCCGACGACAUCCCCACGCUCUUCCGCUGCGCGGUGGCGUGCAAGUCGUGGCGAACCCUCGUGGCCGACCCCUCUUUCCUCCUCCGAUGCUGGCCGGCGGGCGCGCGCCACCAGUCGUCCUUCCUCGGUCUCUUCCGGCCGUGGCCCGCGGAGCUCCGACGGGGCAUGGAUAUCCGGUCCGCCUGCCUUCGUCCCGGCGACGCGACCGCUUCUCAGCCCUCCGGCCAGCAUCAUCGGCUUACUGGACAGCGCCGUGCCACUUGCGUCACGCCAAGGCCUCCUGCUCGUGCAGCUCCUAGGACAGACAGAGACGGGACUACAGCUAGCCACAGCGGCGUCGUCCACAGCAACGUUGUGGCCUGCCGGGGCAAGCUACACAGGCUCGUCUGCCAUCUCUCGGGUACCUGCAACCUUUACACCUUUGAUUCGAGCAAUGAUGAGACCAGCUUAACGAAGCUCUCGAUUCCCUUGGACCAAUUUGGCGUCAGCUAUGAGAAACCACCAUGGCUUAGCGUCACCAUCGACGGCAAGUUAUCAUUGGUUAGCCUACACAACACGUUCCUACGGCUAGAGAUUUGGACACAUCAAGGUGAAAAAGACAGUGGUGAAAGCGCUGCCGACUGGCUGCGCACAAAGGUGAUCCAACUAAAACCCAUGAUGCCGCAUAUCAAACAAGCGUCAUGCAUGUGCGUGAGCGACAGGACAGGCACAUUGCUCAUCAUGGAUCAACUAGAGUUCCUGUGCAUAGUCAAUCUGGAAACCGGCGCAGUUGACAACGUUAUGACCCAGUUUUUCAGAAUGAAAGGAUAUAAUGUCCUGCCCUUUGAGAUGGAUUGGCCAGCCUUCUUCAUGUCUCGCUUGAAGAAACGGAAAAAAUAA
RNAcentral lists this ribosomal RNA (1137 nucleotides) under Triticum aestivum (bread wheat). RNAcentral's name for it is "partial small subunit ribosomal RNA". Lineage: Eukaryota; Viridiplantae; Streptophyta; Magnoliopsida; Poales; Poaceae. The record is from RNAcentral.